UGCCAGCCGCCGCGGUAAUACGGAGGGUGCAAACGUUAUUCGGUAUCACUGGGCUUAAAGCGUGCGUAGGCGGCCUGGAAGGUGAGGGGUGAAAUCCCACGGCUCAACCGUGGAACUGCCUUUCAAACCACCAGGCUUGAGGAAGACAGGGGUGAUCGGAACUUAUGGUGGAGCGGUGAAAUGCGUUGAUAUCAUAGGGAACACCGGUGGCGAAAGCGGAUCACUGGGUCUUUUCUGACGCUGAGACUCGAAGGCGUGGGUAGCGAACGGGAUUAGAUA
RNAcentral lists this ribosomal RNA (279 nucleotides) under uncultured bacterium. RNAcentral describes it as "partial 16S ribosomal RNA". It matches the Rfam family "Bacterial small subunit ribosomal RNA", at positions 506 to 784 of the family's 1533-position model. The record is from RNAcentral.